AUAACUAACUUCCUUCCUUCCUUCCUUUCUUCCUUCCUUCCAUCCUUCCUCCCUCCCUCCCUCCCUGCUUUCCCUUCCUCCCUGCCUUCCUUCUUCCUUCCUCUCUUUUUUCUUUUCUCCCUUCCUUCCUUCUUAAUAUGUUUUUGGCCUUUUCUUUAUAUAUGUGGCCUAUCAAUAUCAUGUGUUUGGAAAAGCAUAAACUUAAGGCAUCACCUUUACAGAAAAUAUCUUCCAUGGAAACAUCUAAAGUGAGGAAGUAAAGUUGCAUUCAUAGGCCUUGAACUUUUCCACAUCUCGAUUUUUACCCAUCAUCUCUGCAUAUUUUCCUAAGGCAGCCUUCAAAUGGUGAUGUUUCCUGUCAUCCAGAGUUCAGAAGUGCCUUCUCUUCAACCUUUCUGUGGAAUUCUAAACCACGUGAUAAAGGAGCUGGUGGCCACAGAUCAGCCCUGGGGUUCAGAGGGAUCCUGACGGCUACUCCUCAAGAUCCUCUCUGUUGUGAUUCAUCCCCCCCAGGCCCUACAGUUUCUCCUUCCUGACUCUUACAUUUCUUUGGAUGGCAUCACUAUUUACCUGUCUCCUCCCAUAGUUAGUUGCCAAGCACUGUGGAUUCUACCCCUCAGGGUCCAGACACCCAUUUUCCUUCCCACUGUUCCCUCCCCAUGGAGAAGCCUGUGGCUGACUGACAGCUCAACUUGGAGAAGGUGUUACCUGGGCCAGGUGGGGAAGGUAGGGUUGUUUGCAGAGCAAAGAAGUGAAGGAAGUAUUAACCCUUUGCAUGGCCUCCUGAGAAUCUGACAAGACGUAAAUAGCCAAGAAUAUCUGUGGAACUUAAUCAGUGAGUUACAAUAUUUAUCACUGCAAGUGUG
RNAcentral lists this non-coding RNA (866 nucleotides) under Pongo abelii (Sumatran orangutan). The record is from RNAcentral. Lineage: Eukaryota; Metazoa; Chordata; Mammalia; Primates; Hominidae.